CCUGGUUUUCACCCAGGCGGCCCGGGUUCGACUCCCGGUGUGGGAACACCGAAAUUUUUUUAGACUGGCGUUUCGUCGAUUUAGAUUCUUCCUAACUCAGAAACGGCAUGUUUUUAGCCAAAACUUUUUCUUUUCAGUAGAGAUGAAGGAAGAAGGAUUGUCUAUUGCCACAAACUGUUUGCCAAAAGAUAGCAUCACCCGCAAUGAUGGCAGAGAAGGGACAAGAUUCCAAGCCAGCUGUGCUGCACCACUUCCUCCCCUCCCCCAGGGCAAGGCGGUUGGUCCCUCUUCUCACCCUGAAACAAAACCUAGAUGCCCUGGGCCUUGCACAGGAAAUGCUAUUUUGGUUAUAGGUGAUAGUUUUUAGUAAACCAAAAGUGUCAACCAUUCACAAAAUGCUCUUCUCUAGCAUUUGAAGACUUUUUAAGCACAUAACCUAGAUCCCGUUGAUUUUUUUCCUCUGGGUAACUUCCCUCUUGUCAGAGUGCACCUUUCCUUAUUCUCUUGCAAAUGAAAAUUGAAGGCGUUUUGUUUGUUUGUUUGUUUGUUUGUUUAUUUAUUUAUUUAUUUAUUUAUUUAUUUAUUUAUUUUUUAACUUAAAUUCUUGUAAGGUGGAGUUUUGGUCUGCUAUUCCUUAGCUGGGUGUGGAAGGCCCUGGGGAGAUUUAUCAGAAUGAAUUUCUAUAUCGAGAAUUACAAUAAUUUGAGCUCUUAUUUAAGGGGUAGCAGAAACAACUGGUACUUUCACAAGCUGGAAAGAGGCCAAUGUCAGAUAUGACAAAUACAGUAAUAAAAAGGGAAAAUAAAAUUCACUUCCUAGGAGGCUCAGCAAUAAUAAAAACAGAAUGAAAAGCUUGGAUAUUUAGAGAGAGGUUCUGUCUCUCACAUAUAUAUGUAUGUGUGUGUGUGUGUAUAUAUAUAUGUAUGUAUAUAUAUGGAUUUCUUCUCCAGAGUGGUUGUCUCUCACAUAUAUAUGUGUGUAUUCAUAUAUGUAUAUAAAUAUAUAUAUAUAUAUAUAAAAUCAUUCUGCUUGUAGGAAAGUUAGACCCUAAGUGUUCAUGAAUGUCUAGUCUCCUGUUACUCUUGUC
This 1087-nucleotide long non-coding RNA is filed under the name Gorilla gorilla gorilla (western lowland gorilla). RNAcentral describes it as "lncRNA (ENSGGOG00000044274.1)". The stretch from base 1 to 46 matches the Rfam family "tRNA", at positions 26 to 71 of the family's 71-position model. Lineage: Eukaryota; Metazoa; Chordata; Mammalia; Primates; Hominidae. The record is from RNAcentral.